RNAcentral lists this long non-coding RNA (314 nucleotides) under Phaseolus vulgaris (common bean). RNAcentral describes it as "long non-coding RNA (PVUL_LNC004007)". Lineage: Eukaryota; Viridiplantae; Streptophyta; Magnoliopsida; Fabales; Fabaceae. The record is from RNAcentral.
UAUGGUACGAAAUUAAACAAUGAAAGCAAUAACAAAAGGAAAUGACCGAAUAGAAACAAGGAAGCAAAACAAGAACAUAUUUAUGAAUUGAAUGGAAUGACAAUGGAAGGAAAAUAUGAAGAAAAAUGAAGCUUAUGAGAAAUGGAGUUUGAGAUGAUGAGCACGUCACUUGGAUGAUGAAAUGACUCCAAGAUAAGUGUUGGAAGCCGCCACUUUAGAGCUCUCAAAUUCUCACAAGAUAAGACUAAAGACUAAGAGGAACAAGCCUCACUAGCAUCUCACACAAAAUGUGCAGAGUAACUUUUCUCUAUUUC